Molecule: ribosomal RNA, 501 nt
Filed under: uncultured bacterium
Lineage: Bacteria
Description: partial 16S ribosomal RNA
Rfam family: Bacterial small subunit ribosomal RNA
Source: RNAcentral
AUUGAACGCUGGCGGCAGGCUUAACACAUGCAAGUCGAGCGGGGGAAGGUAGCUUGCUACUGGACCUAGCGGCGGACGGGUGAGUAAUGCUUAGGAAUCUGCCUAUUAGUGGGGGACAACAUCUCGAAAGGGAUGCUAAUACCGCAUACGUCCUACGGGAGAAAGCAGGGGAUCUUCGGACCUUGCGCUAAUAGAUGAGCCUAAGUCGGAUUAGCUAGUUGGUGGGGUAAAGGCUUACCAAGGCGACGAUCUGUAGCGGGUCUGAGAGGAUGAUCCGCCACACUGGGACUGAGACAAGGCCCAGACUCCUACGGGAGGCAGCAGUGGGGAAUAUUAGACAAUGGUGGGAACCCUGAUCCAGCCAUGCCGCGUGUGUGAAGAAGGCCUUAUGGUUGUAAAGCACUUUAAGCGAGGAGGAGGCUACUCUAGUUAAUACCUAGGGAUAGUGGACGUUACUCGCAGAAUAAGCACCGGCUAACGCUGUGCCAGCCGCCGUAACAC